Felis catus (domestic cat) is the source of this 1428-nucleotide long non-coding RNA. RefSeq lists it as uncharacterized. The transcript is spliced from 4 exons. The record is from RefSeq and is a predicted model, not a curated record. Lineage: Eukaryota; Metazoa; Chordata; Mammalia; Carnivora; Felidae.
AGAAGAGGAACCAGCAGAGGGGAUUGAGAAGAUGAAGCCAAUGAAGUAGGAAGACAACCAAAAGACUGAGGUGAACUGGAAGCCAAAUGAAGAAAGUGUGUUACGGAUGAGAGAGUGAUCACUGCUACUGACUGUCAAAUGAGCCACGAAGUUUUGGGGGCAGUUUGUUAUGCAGCAAGAUAUGACUAAUUCAGAGGAGAACUCAAGACAGCUCAUCUAUAGCAACAGGCAGAUAUACAGAGCACAUGAAUGCCGAGUCUGUGGUAGGACCUGAAGCUACUACCAUGGGACCACGUGGGGAGGCCAUACAGAGUUAGAGAUACAUGCCCACAGAGCUCCAGCUGUUCAAGUCUUCACUGCUUUGGCCCCAGAUGAUGUUUUGCAGUAGCCACACUGAUGCUUAUAUCACUGAAAGGUGGAUGUCUCGGCGCAAGCUUUUGCCUGACACACGCAUGCCAUGUGACGACUCAGCUGUCCCACAUUGUCCCUCAUUGGUCCAUCUCAACCACCAGGAAACCUCUGCUUAUACCGCACACAGAAACAUCUAGCCUUUCCAUAGUGCCAGCACAUCAUCAUUACUUUCUGGUCUUGCCUCUGUUCUUUUUACAGCAGCCCAUUACAGUGGAAGAUGUUCUCCUUGAUGCCAAUGUGAUCCUAAGUACGUACACACAAGAAUCCAGGCCCUGAUGGUGAAUGUCAGCACUCAGUGAUAAGGGGUCAUUCAAUGAAAUCGGAUUUUUAAAAAUAUAUUUUCUUUAGAUUAACGUGAAAAUGAAAAUACAAAAAUUAAAAACUCUUGCAGGGAAUUAUCCACCACACAGAAGGUAUUCAUUCGUUGGACUGGAAGGGAGAGACACACACUGUAGGCAGUUGUCAGCAAAAAGUUUAGCUGACAGAGGAUGGAGUUGAGUUACGGAUGGCCCUGAAAGCCAGCAUCUAGAGACCGAGCUGUUAACUGGUAGUCACAAUGGGUUCUUGAGUAGGGGAGUGAUAUCAUGAAGGCUCUAUUUUAAGAUUCCUCUCACAGUUGUAUGUGUAUGAUGAUUUAGACAAAGGUGAGGCAGGAGCCAGGAAGACUGGCUAAUAGUCCCUUCUACUAUACAAAUUCUAGCACUUAAAAAAUCAGUGUUCACCAACUGUGGUAGUCAACUGGGCUUUUUGAAAACUACGGUAUAGGUUGUGAGUUGGAUUUCAUUUCAACACUUAGGGAUUUAUGAUGUUCUUUUUCCUACUCCUGCUUGUCAUUGAUAAAUGAUACAACCUUGGUUAAGCCAUUCAUGGCCCAGCACCUCUGAGCCUUUAUCUAUCAAACAAGAGAAAAUGAUAUAUACAUUCUACCCAUGUUAUAAAUAUUAAAAAUUACAUAUAUAUAUAAGCUUAUAUAUAUAUAAAAGCUUAUAUAUAUAUAUAUAUAUAUAUAUAUAUAUA